CGGGUUGGAAUCCCAGUGAAGCAUCCCUAAUACCCAUUAUCAGUUCUGGUCCACUUUCUCUCAGGUUCUAUCACAGACAGAUAAGUGCAGCUUGUUGGGAAUUGGGGAAAGGCAUAUUUUAACAUGUAAUGUACAUUUUAACAUUUGCAAUUUAAAGUUCUAAAACUCCCCAGGACAUGUAAGUGAUCAUUAAUACUACUACACCCUUAUUCACUUCGAGACUGUGAUGAUGUCACUAGCUAAUAGUGUCCUAAAUGGGCGGGGCCAUCAUCAUGAGGUUGCCAAUUCAUCAUUUGUAUUUCAACUGAUCAAACAAUGAUCAUUUGAUUAACUUUUUUUAGGCCUUUUGUAAUAAUUUGAUUUGGAUGCUUCUGGUAUUUGGACGUUUUAGAAAAAUGAUCCUCAACUAUAACCAAAGAAGAAUUUUGCUGGUUUAUGUGGUACAACAGUGUUUGAUGUGCAGUUUGCCCCAUUUACAAGGCUUCGUCAUUCAGAGAUAGCAAAUGACACUGUAGGACAUUACCUAAUCUUUAGUAUUCUUUUAUUUAAAGGUAAUUGAAAAUGUGAUUCUAAGCUCUCAGAGCUUUUCUUAUCUUACUAUUAACUAGAGCUUUUAUCCCAU
This 622-nucleotide long non-coding RNA is filed under the name Marmota monax (woodchuck). The record is from RNAcentral. Lineage: Eukaryota; Metazoa; Chordata; Mammalia; Rodentia; Sciuridae.